This 466-nucleotide ribosomal RNA is filed under the name uncultured bacterium. RNAcentral describes it as "partial 16S ribosomal RNA". It matches the Rfam family "Bacterial small subunit ribosomal RNA", at positions 339 to 795 of the family's 1533-position model. The record is from RNAcentral.
CUACGGGACGCACCAGUGGGGAAUAUUGGACAAUGGGGGAAACCCUGAUCCAGCAAUGCCGCGUGUGUGAAGAAGGCCUGCGGGUUGUAAAGCACUUUCGGUUGGGAGGUCUGCUUCUAGCACUAAUAUUGUUGGAAGUUGACGUUACCUUCAGAAGAAGCACCGGCUAACUCCGUGCCAGCAGCCAGCGAUAAUACGGAGGGUGCAAGCGUUAAUCGGAAUUACUGGGCGUAAAGCGCGCGUAGGCGGCUAGAUCAGUCGGGUGUGAAAGCCCCGGGCUUAACCUGGGAACUGCAUCCGAUACUGUCUAGCUUGAGUACAGGAGAGGAGAGUGGAAUUCCACAUGUAGCGGUGAAAUGCGUAGAUAUGUGGAGGAACACCAAUGGCGAAGGCAGCUCUCUGGCCUGAUACUGACGCUGAGGUGCGAAAGCGUGGGGAGCAAACAGGAUUAGAUACCCCAGUAGUC